CAUAGCGACUAUCGUGGCAUAUCAAUAAGCGGAGGAAAAGAAACUAACAAGGAUUCCCCUUAGUAACGGCGAGUGAAGCGGGAAGAGCUCAAAUUUGAAAUCUUCAAGGGUUCUACCUUGACGAAUUGUAGUUUAAAGAAGUGUUUUCUGUUAGUAGAGGUGGCUAAAAGUUCUUUGGAAUAGGACAUCAUAGAGGGUGAGAAUCCCGUAUUUGAUCACUUCUUACUAACGUUGUGAUACACUUUCAAAGAGUCGGAUUGUUUGGGAAUGCAGUCCAAAAUGGGUGGUAAAUUUCAUCUAAAGCUAAAUAUUGGCGAGAGACCGAUAGCGAACAAGUACCGUGAGGGAAAGAUGAAAAGAACUUUGAAAAGAGAGUUAAACAGUACGUGAAAUUGUCAAAAGGGUAGCGUUUGACACCAGUGUUGUUUUCUCGAAAAUCAAUUAAAAAUGAUGGGAUUUUGUGUUGUAUUGACUUUAUCAGCUUUCUGCACUUUUUUCUUAUCUUUUUUAAUGCACUUUUCGUUUAACAAGUCAACAUCAAUUUCUUUUGUUGUAAAAGAGUCAUUGGAAGGUGGCUUUUCUUUCGGAGAAAGUGUUUAUAGCCUUUGGCUUCUGCAAUCGGAGAGAUUGAGGUCUGCAGCGUAGAUCCUUCGGGGUUAGAUACAUUUGUGCUAAGCUAUAGUUCUUUCAUAGACAACUUGUUGACUAUGAUCAAGUCCUGUAGCUUACUCGCUUAUGCUAUUUUACCUACGCUUAGGAUGUUGACGAGACUGUCGAUCUC
This 781-nucleotide ribosomal RNA is filed under the name uncultured Neocallimastigales. RNAcentral's name for it is "partial large subunit ribosomal RNA". It matches the Rfam family "Eukaryotic large subunit ribosomal RNA", at positions 22 to 646 of the family's 3401-position model. Lineage: Eukaryota; Fungi; Neocallimastigomycota; Neocallimastigomycetes; Neocallimastigales. The record is from RNAcentral.